ACGGAGGGUGCAAGCGUUAAUCGGAAUUACUGGGCGUAAAGCGCACGUAGGCUGUAGUGUAAGUCAGGGGUGAAAUCCCACGGCUCAACCGUGGAACUGCCUUUGAUACUGCACAACUUGAAUCCGGGAGAGGGUGGCGGAAUUCCAGGUGGAGGACUGAAAUCCGGAGAUAUCUGGAGGAACAUCAGAGGCGAAGGCGGCCACCUGGACCGGUAUUCACGCUGAGUUGCUAAAGCGUGUGUCGCAAACAG
Molecule: ribosomal RNA, 251 nt
Filed under: uncultured prokaryote
Description: partial 16S rRNA
Rfam family: Bacterial small subunit ribosomal RNA
Source: RNAcentral